UCAGAGCACCACUUUGCUGCACCUCAUGGACCACGCUGCAUCCACACCCUGCACAUGCUGCCGUGGAUGAUGUUAUCAUCACCUAGGUGGAGCAGAUGCAGUGAGCGUCCACAGUCCUAGAGUCCCUGAGGAGCUAGCUGCUGGGGCCAGAGAGGAGAGAGAGGUAUCAGGAACAUCUGCAGCGAGGAGCGCUGACAAAUCACGAGGAGCUGGAAAAACUCCCGACAAAAGCACAGCACGAGUAAAAAUUCUGGUUCAUUUUGAGCUAAAGGAAGACCUGCGAAAAUCAUGCUCAGUCAUUGCCAAAGAUUUCAGUGUGCUGAAAGCAUGUUGGCACACUGCUUAACAACAAAUAUUUCUGGAACAACUUCACCUACUUCCAAGGUGCAUGGAAAAGAUAAGGAUGUGACGACGCAGAGACUCCAGCAACACUUAAGAGUAACGAGAAACAACUUCAGCCCAGUGGUUCCCAAAGUGGGGGCGUGCAGGGCCAUUGCAGGGGGGGCACGGUAUAAAUAAAAAAAAAAAAGAAAGCUUGGACACUGCUAGUGUGGCAGGAUGAAUGUUAUCCCUCGGUCCAACCCACUUUCAGCCUGGCGCAUUAGGGGGCGCUAGUAUAAAUAGUGGCCAUUUGAGUGUCCCUGGAUCGCUUACCUGUGACCUCCUUUUUGGUCACCUGACUUCCUGUUGGUGUUGCUGAGCUUAGUUGCGGGUUACUUUUCCGAAGCCUCCAUCGCAGCUGGUAGGUGUUUACUCAUUGUAGUGUAUAUAUUACUUUGCUUGAUGGUAAACAGCUAUUGUUUGUAGGUCGUAGCUGUAGAAGCCUCCUCUGAGCCAUUCUGCUUACGUUUUAUGACACGGCUUACUUGGUAUGUAAUCAACUUCUGUUACGCUCUCUGCCUUCUGUUGUUCUUUUAUAGUAAUUAUUUAUUAUGCUUUGCAGGAAGUGUGGGCCUGAGUUUUGCGCCAAGCUACGUGAACUGAAGUGCUGCUGCUUUGCUUUGCUUUGCUGUGAUGCUUUGCUUUGUUUUACUUUAUUUUUACUGUCUGUUCCGGCUGCGAAGUUUCUUUGCUGCUGCCAGCCUUUAAAGUGGACGUCGGCGUGAACAACGGCCAUAUGCAUGCCACGCGGGUCGGCUGGCGCGCAUACUGAUUGACUGACUGGAUAAUUAACUUAUAGCCGUGCAGACGGCAAGUCGGAGCACUACGGCGAUUCCGUUUGCUCCAUAUUUUAGAGUUUUACCCAGAUUGUAUGUUUUACUGUUUGAUUUGUAGUUUGGAUUUUUGUUACGCCACUGGUGGGAGGCCCUUUUUCUAGCUGCAGAUCACCAGUGUGGUCUUGCAGUUGGGUUAUCCCCCAGCGCUAUAUAUUAGUUUUGUUGUAAUAUAUUAAAAUUUCCUUUGUUUCUUUUAUUCAGAUGCGGAGUGCUGACGUGGAGGAGACUAGGGUGCCUUGGUGGUGGGAUCCUCUGAGUGUACACACCUGCCUUGUUUAAUUUAUUAGUGUGAGUGUGCUGCACUUGUGUCUUGGUGUAUUUUCUUUUUUUUGAGUUUGUGUGUGGCAUCCCUGCCCCUCCACUGGAUAAAAGCAAAGCAGCAGCUACUUUGGUGUGGGAUUCCACAGCUGUGUUACAGAGAUGGAGGAAGAGUUACAGGAACUCAGGGACUUGAUCGCGCAGCUGAAAGCAGACAAUGAGAGGCUGCGUCAGGAGAGGGCUGUUGAGUCAGGAAGUGUGGGCCUGAGUUUUGCGCCAAGCUACGUGAACUGAAGUGCUGCUGCUUUGCUUUGCUUUGCUGUGAUGCUUUGCUUUGUUUUACUUUAUUUUUACUGUCUGUUCC
Oreochromis aureus is the source of this 1839-nucleotide long non-coding RNA. RefSeq lists it as uncharacterized. The record is from RefSeq and is a predicted model, not a curated record. The transcript has 4 exons. NCBI's taxonomy places the organism in Eukaryota, Metazoa, Chordata, Actinopteri, Cichliformes, Cichlidae.